This 555-nucleotide small RNA is filed under the name Pongo abelii (Sumatran orangutan). Its description in RNAcentral is "processed transcript". Lineage: Eukaryota; Metazoa; Chordata; Mammalia; Primates; Hominidae. The record is from RNAcentral.
ACACCACCCACACACACCACCACGCCCUGUCCCCUUUCUCCACCCUGCAAGCUAGUUGCAUUUACCUCACAGAGCCUGGGCUGCGACUUGAAAGACUUUAGGCAGCAACAGAGUGACCCUGGGGGUGCUCUUGACCGACAGCCGCACCUCCGGCGUCUAGGACCUCCGAGCAGGGAUGCAUCUGGGGGUCUAGGGAAGCACUUCCACCCCCUCCUCUCCUCAACCCUGGCAGGAUGUGCCCGAAAUGCCAGCUCCUCCUUGGUGUUCUCCUUUCAAGAUUUGAAUUCAAAUCCCAUAUUGGCAGCCCUGAUACCGCUGGGGGAAGGGUGAGGUAGGAAAAGUCCCACCAAUAUCCUAAGGGGAGGUGCGAGUGGCUACCAGGAUGUGAGAUGUCUGUGGACAAAGUCCCUGCUUAUUCCAUGAGGGGCUGUGAGAUUAGGACUGUGGCUGGAUGCCCCUUCCUCCAACAACUCCAUCUCAGCAUGAAGUUGAGGCUUUAAAACCCUGACAAACUGUGGGUGACUGUCUCUACUUAAUUCCUCCUCCCAAACUCUU